RNAcentral lists this ribosomal RNA (467 nucleotides) under uncultured bacterium. RNAcentral's name for it is "partial 16S ribosomal RNA". It matches the Rfam family "Bacterial small subunit ribosomal RNA", at positions 29 to 507 of the family's 1533-position model. The record is from RNAcentral.
ACGAACGCUUGCGGCGUGCUUAAAACAUGCAAGUCGAACGGAAAGGCCCUGCUUUUGUGGGGUGCUCGAGUGGCGAACGGGGGAGUAACACGUGAGUAACCUGCCCUUGACUUUGGGGUAACUUCAGGGAACUGGGGCUAAUACCGGAAAGGAGCUCCUGCUGCAUGGGGGGGGGUGGAAAGUUUCGGCGGUUGGGGAUGGACUCGCGGCUUAUCAGCUUGUUGGUGGGGUAGUGGCUUACCAAGGCUUUGACGGGUAGCCGGCCUGAGGGGGUGACCGGCCACAUUGGGACUGAGAUACGGCCCAGACUCCUACGGGAGGCAGCAGUGGGGAAUAUUGCACAAUGGGCGGAAGCCUGAUGCAGCAACGCCGCGUGCGGGAUGACGGCCUUCGGGUUGUAAACCGCUUUCGCCUGUGACGAAGCGUGAGUGACGGUAAUGGGUAAAGAAGCACCGGCUAACUACGUG